CCUACGGGGAGCAGCAGUGAGGAAUAUUGGUCAAUGGGCGCGCGCCUGAACCAGCCAAGUAGCGUGAAGGAUGACUGCCCUACGGGUUGUAAACUUCUUUUAUCAAGGAAUAAAGUGAGGCACGUGUGCCUUUUUUUAUGUACUUUAUGAAUAAGGAUCGGCUAACUCCGUGCCCGCCGCCGCGGUAAUCCGGAGGAUCCGAGCGUUAUCCGGAUUUAUUGGGUUUAAAGGGAGCGUAGGUGGAUUGUUAAGUCAGUUGUGAAAGUUUGCGGCUCAAACGUAAAAUUGCAGUUGAAACUGGCAGUCGUGAGUACAGUAGAGGUGGGCGGAAUUCGUGGUGUAGCGGUGAAAUGCUGAGAUAGCACGAAGAACUCCGAUUGCGAAGGCAGCUCACUGGACUGCAACGGACACUGAGGCUCGAAAGUGUGGGUAUCAAACAGGAGUAGAUACCCGGGUAGUC
Molecule: ribosomal RNA, 460 nt
Filed under: uncultured bacterium
Lineage: Bacteria
Description: partial 16S ribosomal RNA
Rfam family: Bacterial small subunit ribosomal RNA
Source: RNAcentral